RNAcentral lists this ribosomal RNA (271 nucleotides) under uncultured bacterium. Its description in RNAcentral is "partial 16S ribosomal RNA". It matches the Rfam family "Bacterial small subunit ribosomal RNA", at positions 334 to 621 of the family's 1533-position model. The record is from RNAcentral.
GGCCCCUACGGGGGGCAGCAGUGGGGAAUAUUGCACAAUGGGCGAAAGCCUGAUGCAGCAACGCCGCGUGAAGGAAGACGGUUUUCGGAUUGUAAACUUCUGUUCUUAGUGAAGAGUAAUGACGGUAACUAAGGAGCAAGCCACGGCUAACUACGUGCCAGCAGCCGCGGUAAUACGUAGGUGGCAAGCGUUGUCCGGAAUUACUGGGUGUAAAGGGAGCGUAGGCGGGAUAGUAAGUUGAUUGUUAAAACUAUCGGCUCAACUGGUAGAU